Astatotilapia calliptera (eastern happy) is the source of this 398-nucleotide long non-coding RNA. The record is from Ensembl. NCBI's taxonomy places the organism in Eukaryota, Metazoa, Chordata, Actinopteri, Cichliformes, Cichlidae.
GGAGAAAGUUGGACCUAACGGCAGCAACUACCAUCACUGGACUUACAUUGUAUGCAGAGUUUCAGCGGAUUACAAAUCAGAACCUGCCCAAUACAUUCUACGCUGAACUUGACCGCCAUCUUCCUCGACUGAUGACCUUAUUCAGACAGAAGGCAUCAAAAACUGGGAAGACAGCAGAUGCCCUGGCUGAAAGUCUAAGAAUUCACAAUGAACAGGAAAUCCAUGAUAUCCACACCAAGCGCACUACCGUUCUCCACGCCCUUCCUGUCUAUCUGCGUGAGGAUGUCUCUGGAUUUUUCAGAACCUGCACUGACGAAUCUGAUGAGUUAGAGCUUGAUGGUGUUGAAGUGGCCCUCUUCACUGUCAUCAGUGACCAUGACACGACAAGUCCAGUUCAC